CGGGCGAAGACGCCAAGGACGGCAUUUGCCUGCCCGCGAGCUCUGGGAUGUGCCCAGACCGCGGCUCCGGCCGUCCCGCGCGCGCUCCAGGGGUCCCGGGACCCCACAGGGCCUGGUACAGGUCGCGUAGCCGGGAGGCGGCGCACGGCCCUCGACCUCUGCCCUCCGAAGAAGGCUCAGACUUUUGGCACUGCUGGAAAUAAUGGCCUCCGCGAGGAGGGCGCUCGGGGAGCGGCUGCCGGUCCCGUGCCCCGCGGUCCGGGUGCCGCCCUAGGCCAGACCUGCGCUGGCAGCCCCGAUCACCUCACCCGCGCCGAAAGUGAAGGGGGAAGGGCUCCCCUGACCCCCGCCCAUACGCCCCAGGCCGGAGGGAAUGAAGAGUCGCCCGCGGGGCCUGGCUUGCCGACCAUGGCUCCCCACCGCCAAAGCUACAGACUUGAGAUGGUGAUUCUGCCUCGAUUUCCCUGGGCACAUGAUGGAUCCAAGCGUAACCAGCUCACUUACCUGUGGACAGAGAAAAGAGAAACCUUGUUUUAUUUGAGGGUAAAGAGAAUAAAAAAUACAGAGCUAGGGGAAGAACGUAGCAUUCAGAAACAUUAGAGGAAAUGAGAACUCUUCUUCACCAGGGCCCAGAAAAAAAUUUUGGAAACCCGUUAGCAGUCCUAAGGUUUCCUUCUGUAAAUGGAAGGAAGAGGUGGGGACUGAGAUGAAAAUUCAACAGAAUGAAAUGAGAAACAGACAGGGUAAGGAAAAUUAGCAGUACUCCCCAACAGUAGGAACAAAAUUAAAGUACACAUUGGAGAUAGUAAAGAGCAAUAUUCAUACAGCAAAAAAAAAAUUUGAAUUUGAUGUCAAGAGCAAAGCUGAUGCUAAGAAAUUGAAUGGAAUGUGAAGGACAAAGACAAACAAAGAGAGAGAAGAUGAUAGCUGUGGAAAAAGAAGAAUGGAGAAUCUGGAGAACCGACAUAUGGAUAAUUUGUGUUCCUAAAAAAGGAACGAAGGCAAAUGGAAGAGAAGUAAUGAAAGUAACUGAAACAGAAAAGUUUUCCCUUUUUUUUUUUUU
RNAcentral lists this long non-coding RNA (1063 nucleotides) under Homo sapiens (human). RNAcentral describes it as "HSALNT0282051". The record is from RNAcentral. Lineage: Eukaryota; Metazoa; Chordata; Mammalia; Primates; Hominidae.